UUGUCCUUCGCGAGUUCGUACGUCCGGUCCUUGUCGGGGACCGUGGUGUCGCCGCCGGGGGCCACCAGCGCGAGCCGGACGCGCCGGGCGAAC
RNAcentral lists this transfer RNA (93 nucleotides) under Kitasatospora aureofaciens. Its description in RNAcentral is "tRNA-Asp". RNAcentral also lists the same sequence under 9 other names. Lineage: Bacteria; Bacillati; Actinomycetota; Actinomycetes; Kitasatosporales; Streptomycetaceae. The record is from RNAcentral.